UCAGGACGAAYGCUGGCGGCGUGCCUAAUACAUGCAAGUUGAGCGCUGAAGGUUGGUACUUGUACCGACUGGAUGAGCAGCGAACGGGUGAGUAACGCGUGGGGAAUCUGCCUUUGAGCGGGGGACAACAUUUGGAAACGAAUGCUAAUACCGCAUAAAAACUUUAAACACAAGUUUUAAGUUUGAAAGAUGCAAUUGCAUCACUCAAAGAUGAUCCCGCGUUGUAUUAGCUAGUUGGUGAGGUAAAGGCUCACCAAGGCGAUGAUACAUAGCCGACCUGAGAGGGUGAUCGGCCACAUUGGGACUGAGACACGGCCCAAACUCCUACGGGAGGCAGCAGUAGGGAAUCUUCGGCAAUGGACGAAAGUCUGACCGAGCAACGCCGCGUGAGUGAAGAAGGUUUUCGGAUCGUAAAACUCUGUUGGUAGAGAAGAACGUUGGUGAGAGUGGAAAGCUCAUCAAGUGACGGUAACUACCCAGAAAGGGACGGCUAACUACGUGCCAGCAGCCGCGGUAAUACGUAGGUCCCGAGCGUUGUCCGGAUUUAUUGGGCGUAAAGCGAGCGCAGGUGGUUUAUUAAGUCUGGUGUAAAAGGCAGUGGCUCAACCAUUGUAUGCAUUGGAAACUGGUAGACUUGAGUGCAGGAGAGGAGAGUGGAAUUCCAUGUGUAGCGGUGAAAUGCGUAGAUAUAUGGAGGAACACCGGUGGCGAAAGCGGCUCUCUGGCCUGUAACUGACACUGAGGCUCGAAAGCGUGGGGAGCAAACAGGAUUAGAUACCCUGGUAGUCCACGCCGUAAACGAUGAGUGCUAGAUGUAGGGAGCUAUAAGUUCUCUGUAUCGCAGCUAACGCAAUAAGC
Molecule: ribosomal RNA, 858 nt
Filed under: Lactococcus lactis
Lineage: Bacteria; Bacillati; Bacillota; Bacilli; Lactobacillales; Streptococcaceae
Description: bacterial SSU rRNA
Source: RNAcentral